UUGAUACUUACCUUAACACUCU
This 22-nucleotide non-coding RNA is filed under the name Arabidopsis thaliana (thale cress). Lineage: Eukaryota; Viridiplantae; Streptophyta; Magnoliopsida; Brassicales; Brassicaceae. The record is from RNAcentral.